RNAcentral lists this ribosomal RNA (422 nucleotides) under Desulfobacterales bacterium S3730MH5. RNAcentral's name for it is "bacterial LSU rRNA". It matches the Rfam family "Bacterial large subunit ribosomal RNA", at positions 2517 to 2925 of the family's 2925-position model. The record is from RNAcentral. Lineage: Bacteria; Pseudomonadati; Thermodesulfobacteriota; Desulfobacteria; Desulfobacterales.
UUUGGCACCUCGAUGUCGGCUCAUCACAUCCUGGGGCUGGUGCAGGUCCCAAGGGGUUGGCUGUUCGCCAAUUAAAGCGGUACGUGAGCUGGGUUUAGAACGUCGUGAGACAGUUCGGUCCCUAUCUUUCGUGGGCGCAGGAUAUUUGAGAGGAUCUGUCCCUAGUACGAGAGGACCGGGAUGGACGAACCUCUGGUGGUCCAGUUGUCGCGCCAGCGGCAUAGCUGGGUAGCUACGUUCGGAAAGGAUAACCGCUGAAAGCAUCUAAGCGGGAAGCCCACCUCAAGAUUAGAUAUCCCUUCGGCAUGGAAACAUGCCGAACUGAAGACCCCUUGAAGACUACAAGGUUGAUAGGCCAGGUGUGUAAGCCCAGUAAUGGGUUAAGCUAACUGGUACUAAUCGGUCGUGCGGCUUGACCACAA